UACGUAGGGGGCAAGCGUUGUCCGGAUUUAUUGGGCGUAAAGAGCGUGUAGGCGGCCAGGUAGGUCCGCUGUGAAAACUCGAGGCUCAACCUCGAGAUGUCGGCGGAAACCAUCUGGCUGGAGUCCGGAAGAGGAGAGUGGAAUUCCUGGUGUAGCGGUGAAAUGCGCAGAUAUCAGGAAGAACACCCGUGGCGAAGGCGGCUCUCUGGGACGGUACUGACGCUGAGACGCGAAAGCGUGGGGAGCGAACAGG
RNAcentral lists this ribosomal RNA (253 nucleotides) under uncultured bacterium. RNAcentral's name for it is "partial 16S ribosomal RNA". It matches the Rfam family "Bacterial small subunit ribosomal RNA", at positions 524 to 776 of the family's 1533-position model. The record is from RNAcentral.